UACAGAGGGGGCAAGCGUUAUUCGGAAUUAUUGGGCGUAAAGAGCUCGUAGGCGGUUUGUUGCGUCGGCUGUGAAAUCCCGAGGCUCAACCUCGGGUCUGCAGUCGAUACGAGCAAACUAGAGUGUUGCAGGGGAGACUGGAAUUCCUGGUGUAGCGGUGAAAUUCGUAGAUAUCGGGAGGAACACCAGUGGCGAAGGCGGCUCUCUGGGCAGAUACUGACGCUGAGACGCGAAAGCAUGGGGAGCAAACAGG
This 253-nucleotide ribosomal RNA is filed under the name uncultured bacterium. RNAcentral's name for it is "partial 16S ribosomal RNA". It matches the Rfam family "Bacterial small subunit ribosomal RNA", at positions 524 to 776 of the family's 1533-position model. The record is from RNAcentral.